UGAUGCUCUAACCCUGCUGGGUGCAGAUGUGGACAAGGAGGGCUGCAUGUUGCCCAGAGCUGGAGUCAGGCUCUAUCCAGCAGGCAGAGCAGAACUCAGAACAGCAUAUUAUUGGUAGGUAGUUCCUCCUUCUGAAUUACCUAAGCCAACCCCCACCCAAUCAGCUCCAGGGUCCAGAUCUAGUGAAGAUCCUAAGGCUCAGGCCAAGGAGAAGGUGAAGCCCUGGACAGGGCUCUUGAGUAGCCUGUGAGCAGCCCAGUAGGGGACAGAGGACACUGGACAUGGGGCCAGACAGGGAGGCCACCAGUAAACACAGACCUGUAGCUCCAUCAUCACUGGGGUCUUGGCUGCGUGUGCACCGUCCCACACAGGCUCUGUGUCUCUGUUCUCCCUUCCCGUUUUGUGGAGCACAGCUGCAUGCAUGUAGGGCUGGCCCUGGUGGUUCCGGGCACUUGGAGUACCACCCAUGGCACAUGCGCGUAUUCUUAGGUUGUACUGAUGGUCACAUACCUCUCUCACAGUUACCUACCCUGAGACUCACAUCUAACUCCACAGAAACACACGCACAUGUGUGCCUGAGCAUGUGGAACUGCUUCAGGUUGCUGUGCUUGUAUGUACAUAGACUUGUGUUUGAGAACAGUGAACACAUCUGUGGGUAGAUUUGGGCCACAUAUAUACAUAAGAGGGCCUGCACCCUCUGUGAUUAGGGACCCAUUCUGUGCCUAUACUGCUAUUUUUCAUCAUCGUGUGCUCCCUGCCUU
This 761-nucleotide long non-coding RNA is filed under the name Rattus norvegicus (Norway rat). Its description in RNAcentral is "long non-coding RNA NONRATT022463". Lineage: Eukaryota; Metazoa; Chordata; Mammalia; Rodentia; Muridae. The record is from RNAcentral.